This 227-nucleotide ribosomal RNA is filed under the name uncultured bacterium. RNAcentral's name for it is "partial 16S ribosomal RNA". It matches the Rfam family "Bacterial small subunit ribosomal RNA", at positions 28 to 233 of the family's 1533-position model. The record is from RNAcentral.
GACGAACGCUGGCGGCGUGCCUAAUACAUGCAAGUCGAACGCUUCUUUCCUAUCGAGUGCUUGCACUCACUUGGAAAGAGGAGUGGCGGACGGGUGAGUAACACGUGGGUAACCUGCCCAUCAGAGGGGGAUAACACUUGGAAACAGGUGCUAAUACCGCAUAACAGUCAACACCGCAUGGUGUUGGAUUGAAAGACGCUUUCGGGUGUCGCUGAUGGAUGGACCCG